AGAACGAACGCUGGCGGCAUGCCUAACACAUGCAAGUCGAACGCUUUUGGGGCUUCGGUCCCAAAGGAGUGGCGCACGGGUGAGUAGCGCGUGGGAACCUGCCCUGUUGUGGGGGAUAACUGAGGGAAACUUCGGCUAAUACCGCAUACGCCCGGGGGAAACUCCGGGGAAAGAUUUAUCGCAGCAGGAGGGGCCCGCGUCGGAUUAGGUAGUUGGUGGGGUAACGGCCCACCAAGCCUGUGAUCCGUAGCUGGUCUGAGAGGAUGAUCAGCCACACUGGGACUGAGACACGGCCCAGACUCCUACGGGAGGCAGCAGUGGGAAUAUUGGACAAUGGGCGCAAGCCUGAUCCAGCAAUGCCGCGUGAGUGAUGAAGGCCUUCGGGUUGUAAAGCUCUUUCGCACGCGACGAUGAUGACGGUAGCGUGAGAAGAAGCCCCGGCUAACUUCGUGCCAGCAGCCGC
RNAcentral lists this ribosomal RNA (463 nucleotides) under uncultured bacterium. RNAcentral describes it as "SSU rRNA". It matches the Rfam family "Bacterial small subunit ribosomal RNA", at positions 26 to 518 of the family's 1533-position model. The record is from RNAcentral.